UCAGUAACAAGGAUUCAUCCUGUUGUUGUAUUCUGAACUAGCAGGGAAUCUCUGUUACUGGGG
Hucho hucho (huchen) is the source of this 63-nucleotide microRNA precursor. NCBI's taxonomy places the organism in Eukaryota, Metazoa, Chordata, Actinopteri, Salmoniformes, Salmonidae. The record is from Ensembl.